Molecule: non-coding RNA, 94 nt
Organism: Chaetomium sp. MPI-CAGE-AT-0009
Lineage: Eukaryota; Fungi; Ascomycota; Sordariomycetes; Sordariales; Chaetomiaceae
Source: the annotation of a GenBank genome assembly
GGCAAAGUGGCCGAGUGGUUAAGGCGCUAGAUUUAGGAAAUCCUUUGAUUUUCUCUAGUGGGAAACCGCGCGAGUUCGAAUCUCGUCUUUGUCA